This 2692-nucleotide unclassified non-coding RNA is filed under the name Hevea brasiliensis (rubber tree). Lineage: Eukaryota; Viridiplantae; Streptophyta; Magnoliopsida; Malpighiales; Euphorbiaceae. The record is from RNAcentral.
AGCCAUUUUUGUUUGCCUGAGAGCCCUUAAAAAUGGAGUCUUUGUAAAAUUUGAACCACGAAAUCACUCGUCUCUUCUCUCAGUCUCAAAAUUUUCCUUCAAAUCAUGGCUACAUUACACAUUUUCAGGUCUGCACUAUGGUUUCAGUACCUGAUUUUUCAUCUUCUAACCCUAUAUCCCAUUUCUGGUUACUCAUUUGUUACCCUAAUCACUAGCAACCCCAAAUUCGAUCCCCAAAUUGUUCUCCUCGGCGACGCCAGGAUAUCCGAUGAUGGUUCUCGUGUGCAACUCACGAACCCUCGUGCCUCAAGCUCUGGUCUUCUCUUGUGCAAGGAUCCCUUUAAAUUUCUCGGUUCCAGUCCCAGCAAAAUGUCGUCGUUUUCCACGGAGUUUGAGUUCACAUUUACUGGUAAUGGGGAUAAUCUUUCUCUUGUUAUGGGUCCCUAUAAUUUUGCAUCAAAAUUUCUGGGUCAAGAUCCAUAUGAGUUUUCAAGAGAGAAAGGGUUUCUGGGUAUCGAAUUUGGCUUUUCAAUGGAUGGCAAUGUAGGUGAAUCUAACACUACUCUUGUAUCUGUAAGUGUUAAUAAUGAAAUGUCCAUGCAUUUGGGGACAAAUAGUGGAGAGAAACUGAAGUCUUGGAUUGACUAUGAUCCGAGUUCCAAAAGAUUAGAGAUUAGGUUAAGUAAAUUUAGUGAUAAAAGGCCAUAUAAUCCCAUUAUUGCAUAUUCGAUUGAUCUGUCAAAAACAUGGGAAGUUAAUGACGUUUAUGUGGCCCUAGGCUCAAGAAAUGGAGGCAACUCCUCAGAGACAUAUUAUGUGUAUUCGUGGAGGUUUAGGUUGAGGAAAUUUCCUAAUUGGAUGCAUUCCUUACCAGUUGAUCCACAUGGUUCUGUGGAUAAUGGUAAUCAAAGUUUAAGAGUGCAUAGUAGGAGAUUUUGUCCUUUUACUUUUCUUGCUGGGAUGAUUUUCGUGACUGGAUGUGGAGCAUUACUGGCAUUUAUGGUGCUAUUUAUGUGGGCAAUCUUUGUCAACAGGCGCACUGUGUUUCCAAUUGAAGGUGAUGUGCAGCCGGUGGAUUUCAGUUAUAAAAAGGUCAGUGUACUUGUAGAGAAAGAUGGGAAAGUGGUUAAGAAUUAGAACAUCCAGUAUAUGAACUUUUGCUGUGAAUUUAUUUGGCAUUAGUGUUUGUAGUAGAUGAAGCUCUGUUAUGAACUAUGAAGUACUUUGUUGUUUUUUUCCUUAUCCUUAUUGUACUAACUGAUCUAAUGAAACAUACAGUUUCUUGUGUGCACCUGAUAUGCGGUAUGCUAUUAACUGCUUUGUCUCUGCUCAAUUUGAUCAUUAGUUCAUAUGUACAUAACUUGCUAAUCUUUUUAAUUUAUCUAUGAAGUCUUAUUACCAUUACAAGGAAUUUUAUUGCUUAAUGAUGAAACCAGAUAAGCAUGAAAUGGAGUGGCAACAAGUUUGCUAUGAAGAGUGUUCAUGGUGUUUAUGCAUUCUGUGGACAAGUAAUGUGAUUGUUUUUCUGGAAAAUAGUUAGAAUGCCUGGCUGUAAUAGUGUCUUCUUCUCCUAUUUACUUAUUUUUCUUGAAGAUGCAGAAUGGAAAAAAAUGAUCCGCAAAAUGAAUCCCAACUAGUUCAGGACAAAAACGUAGUUGACUGAGUAAAAGCUGAAUUAGCUAAUUAAAAAAGGUUACUCCAUUAGUAUAGCAUUUUCAAUUUUCUUAAAGCUUGAAGCAUUAAACUAAUAAACUAAUGCAGGUAUUUCCUUGGUUCCUUGGUUAAGAGCAUUAGGAGUCUUCCUUCAUGUAAUCAGGUGAUAGUAUUGGAUUGUUAUCAUAUAUGCCUAGCUCUAUGGAUUUGUAUAGUCAAUUUGGCUGUGAUUGAUUUGUAAUAGCUUAACGGUAGCCAACUAGCCACAUAUAUGUGAAUUAACCUCCAUAUUGUUGUUGUGGAAAAGUUGCAUAUCUGAUUAUUAUAAAAUAUGGUAUUUUUUUUAUUUUUUUAAUUAUGAAUGAAAUAAUUAACAUUCAAGAAAUUACUCACCCUAGCUAUUGGAAUUCGAACUUAGACAAUUCCAAUAAGUAAAAUUCAUUGGUAAGGUGAGAAGAUUUUGUCUUAGCUUUCUCUUUGAAACUUCUCUUUCGGGUCACCGACCCUACUUCCCUGUUGGGGGCCUUUCUCUUCCCUAGCCUAAAGUUUGCGUUGCUCCAUCUCCACCUUUAGGUUGGGGUUAUAUAGUCUGUUCAAUUUUGUGCGUGCAAGAGAGGGUUUCAUUGGUGUGGAUCUGAGUGGUUCUGUGUUGAUCGAGGUUGUUCAUGACCGAAAGCAGUGAGCAUGGAGGCUUAGGCUUUACUUGAGGAUGAUAUCUGACGAAGGGUUAAAAUAUUGAAGGUGGUAGGUUUCGGUGCCAUCCAACAUCCCCACAUGUAGAUUGACACUGUCGGUCUCAUUUGAUGGCUUCUGUGCGAGCUCAGUGCUUGAGCCAAUGUUUGAGCCCUUGUUGCUGGUUUUGGUUAUGGUUGGGUUAUGGUGUUUUGUUUCUUGCUCAGCCGUCUACGAUGGCUGGUGGUCUGGGUGCGUUUUGUCUGUGGGUUCUCAACCUGCUUUGGUUGUGUACGGCUGCUGGACUCAGGGCUUCUUUGCUGGGUCCUUUCUUUGGGUCUAAUUCGUGUUUUUGUUUUGCUCACGG